Molecule: long non-coding RNA, 381 nt
Organism: Oreochromis aureus
Lineage: Eukaryota; Metazoa; Chordata; Actinopteri; Cichliformes; Cichlidae
Exons: 3
Source: RefSeq, a predicted model, not a curated record
CAAAAUAUGCUAUUCUUCAAGCUGCUAUUUGUCAAAAGACUCCACCUGCAACUCAAAAGAAACAUCUGGAGAACUAAACAGCAAAGUGAGUUUUAUGUAAAGCAGCUUCAAAGUCGCUGUACCUGCUCUAAGAGCUGCUGCUGAAUGCUGGGAUCAGUCAGGUGUUGGGAACGGAGUUUGUGACGGAAGCGAAGCCACUGUACAGAUUUGGAGUUGAAGUUGUCACGAUUCACGCCAAGGACACGAGCACUGUGUAGGGUUCAGGGUGAAUCGCCAUGGGAGCCACAGUGCGAGGAUUGGCACUAUUGUUGUUCACCUUUUACGAUUGUAAAUAAAUUCACUGUAUUUGUUUGGAAGAGUCCUGCGUUUGGGUCCUCAUUA